Long non-coding RNA from Mytilus californianus (California mussel), 485 nucleotides. RefSeq lists it as uncharacterized. Lineage: Eukaryota; Metazoa; Mollusca; Bivalvia; Mytilida; Mytilidae. The record is from RefSeq and is a predicted model, not a curated record. The transcript is spliced from 4 exons.
AGAAGUAAAAAGAAAGGAAGGAGAUAUGUUAAUUGGAAUAAGGAGGAUGAAAAGGUUGUAAGAACAUACUUCAAGGAUUAUGUCGAAGACGUGUCUAAAGAAAAGUCCAAAGGAUCACUACCUGGUUUUAAGGCCAUUGAAGUAUUUAUGAAAAAAUAUCCAAAAGUAAUGGCCAAUGAAACAGACCCUGUUAUUAGAAGAGAUCUUAUAAAAUACAAAGUCUUCAAUGAAAGAAAUAAGACCAGGAAAAAUUAUCAGCAGAGGAAGAAUAAAUAUUCUAUGUAAGGUAGUGCAGCAGGUCUUCAUUACAUGACUGGUGCAAAACAUGAUGCAGUUUAUGGUAAGCUUAUAAACUAUUUGUUUACUACUUAAACUAACAUGAUGUUCCUCUCCAAGAGUACAGAAGUAUUGUAUACUACAAAACUGUUUUCAUGCCUGCUACUGAGAUAUUGUAUACUACAAGACUGUUUCCACACCUGAUACAG